GGGUGAGUAACACGUGAGUAACCUGCCCUUAACUCUGGGAUAAGCCUGGGAAACUGGGUCUAAUACCGGAUAGGAGCGUCCACCGCAUGGUGGGUGUUGGAAAGAUUUAUCGGUUUUGGAUGGACUCGCGGCCUAUCAGCUUGUUGGUGAGGUAAUGGCUCACCAAGGCGACGACGGGUAGCCGGCCUGAGAGGGUGACCGGCCACACUGGGACUGAGACACGGCCCAGACUCCUACGGGAGGCAGCAGUGGGGAAUAUUGCACAAUGGGCGCAAGCCUGAUGCAGCGACGCCGCGUGAGGGAUGACGGCCUUCGGGUUGUAAACCUCUUUCAGUAGGGAAGAAGCGAAAGUGACGGUACCUGCAGAAGAAGCACCGGCUAACUACGUGCCAGCAGCCGCGGUAAUACGUAGGGUGCGAGCGUUAUCCGGAAUUAUUGGGCGUAAAGAGCUCGUAGGCGGUUUGUCGCGUCUGUCGUGAAAGUCCGGGGCUUAACCCCGGAUCUGCGGUGGGUACGGGCAGACUAGAGUGCAGUAGGGGAGACUGGAAUUCCUGGUGUAGCGGUGGAAUGCGCAGAUAUCAGGAGGAACACCGAUGGCGAAGGCAGGUCUCUGGGCUGUAACUGACGCUGAGGAGCGAAAGCAUGGGGAGCGAACAGGAUUAGAUACCCUGGUAGUCCAUGCCGUAAACGUUGGGCACUAGGUGUGGGGACCAUUCCACGGUUUCCGCGCCGCAGCUAACGCAUUAAGUGCCCCGCCUGGGGAGUACGGCCGCAAGGCUAAAACUCAAAGGAAUUGACGGGGGCCCGCACAAGCGGCGGAGCAUGCGGAUUAAUUCGAUGCAACGCGAAGAACCUUACCAAGGCUUGACAUGUUCUCGAUCGCCGUAGAGAUACGGUUUCCCCUUUGGGGCGGGUUCACAGGUGGUGCAUGGUUGUCGUCAGCUCGUGUCGUGAGAUGUUGGGUUAAGUCCCGCAACGAGCGCAACCCUCGUUCCAUGUUGCCAGCACGUAAUGGUGGGGACUCAUGGGGAGACUGCCGGGGUCAACUCGGAAGGAAGGUGAGGACGACGUCAAAUCAUCAU
The sequence is a ribosomal RNA, 1082 nucleotides long. It matches the Rfam family "Bacterial small subunit ribosomal RNA", at positions 104 to 1196 of the family's 1533-position model.